CUGGCCCCCAGCCCUUGAUUCCCCUUCCUCAUCAUUGUAGCAAAUUCUCCAUAGUCUAUUCUCCCGUCCUGUCAGUAGCAGUCAGUUGUUUUUAGCCUCACCAAGACUUGGCCUGUGCCUGUUGGAGCUCAUCUAUGGUGAUGUAGCCACUGCCAUCCUUGUCGAAGAAAGCAAAGGCAGCCAUCUUUCAGCAAUGACCUGUACAAGGAUGAUGACAACAACAAUGAUGAUGAUGAUGCUCUAAUCAGCACUGCAAUCCAAGUAUGUUACUUCGAACUAACUUACACGCAGAGCCAUCUUCUUAAGCUUGUUCAUUGCAGAAAAUUGCUUUAGCCGUGAAAGAACAGCGGAUCCGAGAGGCUUGUCCGGUGCAACAUUGUCAUCCACAAUCCAAGGAUGGCCUAUUAACCAGGCGAUCAACACCAGCCGGCAGAUAAUUAACACGAAUGGACGAGGAUGAGUUGACUUGAUGAUUCACUCACUCACUCACCUGCCCAAAAGGGAGGCACCCCUGACAGUAAUAUGUAAAGAAUAACCCCUGCACUCCAUACAUCAGCUUCAGGACC
This is a long non-coding RNA of Andrographis paniculata, 566 nucleotides long. RefSeq lists it as uncharacterized. NCBI's taxonomy places the organism in Eukaryota, Viridiplantae, Streptophyta, Magnoliopsida, Lamiales, Acanthaceae. The transcript has 4 exons. The record is from RefSeq and is a predicted model, not a curated record.